AGACAGAUUUGCUUUGUCUUUCUCAAAGGUUAGAGGCUAUUUGGCAAGCUUUUGCUGCUAAGAGUAUGGGCUCAUCCUCCACCCACACUCGCCUCCAUCUCCUCUUGGAUUUUGCAGUCCCGGGUCUCUUCCCUCUUUAAGGCUACCAUCAUUCUCAAGUUGCUCAUAGAGGCCUCAUGUUACUUGAUAUGGCGGGAGCGUAAUGCUACGAUCUUCUCAUCCAUCCAUUCUUCCAGUUCAGUUGUGCAAGCAGCAAUUGGAUUGCUCGCUUCGAGACCGGCUUAUCACGCUUGCUUUUUAUUUUGGUUGUAUAUGUCUUCCCUUUUAGUUGUCCUUUUUGUUUGAACAAGUUGUAUCAACAUCAACAUGUACCCAAAAAUAUUCAGAAUAUUG
Molecule: long non-coding RNA, 393 nt
Organism: Capsella rubella
Lineage: Eukaryota; Viridiplantae; Streptophyta; Magnoliopsida; Brassicales; Brassicaceae
Exons: 2
Source: RefSeq, a predicted model, not a curated record